AGAUUAAGUUAUUAAGGGCGCACGGUGGAUGCCUUGGCACUAGAAGCCGAUGAAAGGACGUUACUAACGACGAUA
This 75-nucleotide ribosomal RNA is filed under the name Staphylococcus aureus. Its description in RNAcentral is "partial 23S ribosomal RNA". The record is from RNAcentral. Lineage: Bacteria; Bacillati; Bacillota; Bacilli; Caryophanales; Staphylococcaceae.